UUCUCUCCAUAGAACCCAUCGAAUACUCUACUCUGGCGACGAUAGAGACGCCAUCUUUUGCAACGGAAUGCACGGUGUCGAAAUAUUCGACCUUUCCUUUAUUUCAGCAAGAAGUCUGGCCGCUUUUCGUUGAAUCGUAGACGCCACAACCCAUCUUUUCCGACUAGAUCUGCAAAAACUCAAGUAUAUAUACAUAUAAGUGAAAGGCAGAGCAGAGCCCAUCACAAAUAUUACAACGUCGAAGGUGGAAUUGUAAGAGGGUUGGACGAAAUUUAUGUUGGCCAUGGCUAUGGGUUUUUAAAUUUUGAGUGUGCAAUGUUUAUGUAAUUUUAUG
RNAcentral lists this long non-coding RNA (334 nucleotides) under Olea europaea (common olive). RNAcentral's name for it is "long non-coding RNA (OEUR_LNC006076)". The record is from RNAcentral. Lineage: Eukaryota; Viridiplantae; Streptophyta; Magnoliopsida; Lamiales; Oleaceae.